AUGUAACCGGACCGUUCCUCUGCCGUAAAACGCACUGGAUCGGAAAGGGAGAUAUCAUACACCCUGUGUUUAUUUACCUUUGUUGCUUUGGCGGGCCGUCCUUUUAGGCGUCGGCCCCGGCUGAUCGCGCCCGCCAGAGGACCCAAACUCUUUUAUCAGUGAAGUCUGAGUACUAUAUAAUAGUUA
This 186-nucleotide unclassified non-coding RNA is filed under the name uncultured Helotiales. RNAcentral's name for it is "sequence contains ITS1". The record is from RNAcentral. Lineage: Eukaryota; Fungi; Ascomycota; Leotiomycetes; Helotiales.